CCCCCCCCAACCCCUCCCGCUACUGGAAGAUUUUUUUUUCCCCUCUCUAUCUCCUAUACUGACAACGUCCUGCGAGCGGCUGUUUUGCUUUUGCACUGAGAGAAGAGCUUCCCCCCUCACCCUCUCUUCCGACAGCAAACUCUCAGCCUGUGAGUAGGAGUGGAUCUUGGCUACUUUGUGCUACCUCCCGUGGACAGAACAGGGGUACAGAAUCUGGACCCCUUCAUAUCUUCAGCUUAUGGAUGAAAUCCACAUACUGAUGUCUAACCUGUAACAAAUGCCAAUGUUUUGACCUUUCAAUAGAGAGCUGAUUUUGGAGAACGACUUACUCCUGUGAUUGAAAAACUCUCUGGAAGGUUGAUGGAGCAUGAGCUUGAACUGCAGUCUUAAACAUGAAUGCAAAAUUUCACUGUUACUUCAAGAGAGGAGCAGUCAAGGUGUAUUCUCUUAAUUCUUCUUCAUCUGACCACACAGUAACCUCAACUGAGUUGAGUGAAUUAACUGAAUAUGCCUGAAGCAAAUAAUAAGCAUUCCUGACUUCUGUGUAUGUGUGGAGAGCCUGCUCCUAUGGAAUUUCUGUUGUGCAUCUUCAGCAGAGCUCUUGCUUUCAGGGGUUCGGAAGAAUCUAACAGAGCUGCCUGCAUACAUGAUUCCCAGCUUUCAUCAAGAUCUUCUUAAGACACAAGGAUGGAGAUAGCCCUGUUAGUUUGCAGAAGUUGUUUAUCGUGAACUGGCUAGAAGGCUUAUUGUAAUGAAGUGGAGUGCUUGGGUCCAUGCUGUAUUUUUCUCUUGCAGGAGAAUCUUUCAUUGAGAUUAUUGAAAUCGCUGCAGUGAGAAUGGAAAUUACUUGGGCUCCUUUCCUUUUAAAAGCUGCAUGCAAGAACUGUGUGGUGAGUCAAAUGUAGACUAAUGGUUAUGUAAAUGUCACUAAUUUUAGAUACAGAUCUGAAAGUGUGUUUCCUUUUAAGAUUUUAUUUUCUUCACUAUCAUGACUCAGUAUCACUUGCUAAUCUAAUUUUAUUAGCCCUGUUGUAUUUUACCAUUUAAAAUACACAUGCCUUCUUCAAUUAAAUGCUCACAGAGUCAAGUUUAUAUAUCAUAUAGAUGUUUUAAAAGGAGGAAAAAAGCUUAUCUGCACUGGGGAUUUGUUUUCACUUCAGCCUUCACAAGCCUGCUACUGGUGCAGUUGCACAGGUAGAAACAUGAUGUAGAUGAAUAUGAAUCCAAGUUUUUAUAAUUCAUAAAUUUGCAUUAUUUGACUGUAUAGAAUUUCAGCCUGGUGUAUGUGCUGCUAAAAAUUACGCUUUUCUUGUUUGCUACUGCUACGGAUUUGAACUGUUGAAACUACUGAUGGCUAAAAUUUCCAACUUAGUUCAGACCUGAGCAGUUCUCAGCAGCAAACCUAUGCAUAAUUAGAUAGCCUACGUCUUUUCAUAAAGAACACUUCCAUGUGUACCUUUACCUAUUACAGCUCUCUUAAGAUACGUGACCAAACUGAGGUUGAUUAUUUAGAAAAAAUAUGCUUUCUGGCUCAAAGGUGAAUAGCUUUCUCACUGAAUUUCUUGAAGUAGCACUAUGUUAUAUUUGCUUAUCUUUAACUGCUUAACAUUGAAGACCUGCACAUACAUUUCAGCCAUUUGAAAACUUAGAAUUGCUUGGCUAGACCAGAUUCUGUGAGUUAUAAAAUAAAAAGAUGUUACUCUUCUACUAUGCCACGUCCUUUAAAGAUCACUGAUUUUUGUCAGCCCACUGCAGACUUCUGCUUGCAGGGGGCCAUCCAUCCUGUUGCUCUUGUAGAUCUGGUAUUUUAAUAUAUCCAGGAUUUUUCCCAGGGACUUGUAUGAGUAGAUAUGAAUCUAAGGAGCUGAUCAGAAAGACUUGAAAGCAUGCAACAAGUCUAUUUGCAUGGCUUUGUCAAAGUCCAAUGGCCAAACCGUGUGUUCCUGACUACUUCAUUGUGCCCAUGUAGGCCUUUAUAGGAACAGACUGCUUCCUCCUGGUUCACCAUGCAAACCCGUAUCACUGGCACAAAGCAGGAGAUGGCAGGGAAUGGGAAGAAGCAGAAGGACGAAGGUUGGACCACCUUGUUUGUUGGCCCUAGCGACUUCAAACAGUUCAGUGACAGGACAAAAACACAAUUUGAGCACUUGCAGAACCAGAGUUCAACUGACGAACCAAAGUUCCUGUCAAGAUUAAGAAAGUGACUUGAAGUGCUUAUGAAGGCCUACUCAAAUUAUUUGGAUCCUAAACCUUUGGAAAGGAUGUUGUAUUUCUUGCAUGGUUCAUAGGUGACUUAAAUAAUAUUAGCAGUUAUAUUUUCCAGAGGUUUGCCUGCAUGGAUGGUGCCAUAGGCUGUGACCAAAUCAAACCCCCUCUGCCUUGCAACUCUGGGAUCCUAAGGAUUGUGCCUGAUCUGAGAAAGGAAGGCUCACUGUUUUCAGUUCAGGUGCUUAUUUUCUGCUAGGCUUAGGAACUGCACAGGAAAAAGAUGCCUAAUUCACAUAAAAGAGAAAGAAAAGGAAGGCCUGCUUGAAAAUAAACUGAGACUAGUAGCUAUAUAGGUGUGAAGAUGUCUAGUGAGAGGAGCAUGUCUGAAAAUCUGGUAUUGAAAGAUUUGAGCUGAGAACUAAUAGGGGAAAGACAGAUCUGAUAAACUGGAAAAUCUGAAGGAUUGAAAUAGUUUAGGCAAAGAUUUGGGGUUUGUUCCUUGAAAUUGGAAGAAGCAGCAGCCUGGCAGAAGGGAUCUGGCUUGAAGCAAAGAGAACAAGUCAGGCUUGGGGGAAAGGGCUCGCACACUUCAGAUCAUUCCUAACAUUCACUAGGGUAUUCUGCACUUGAGAUCCAGAAGGGAAUGUAGACUGUUAAGUAGUAGCUUUUGCUGUCAUCUGCAAAAUGACUGUCAAUUUCAUUCCCCUCAUCAUAUUCCCCAUAGAAAAGACCAAGCUUAUUAGUACCCUCAGCUACUACUUUGUGGAUUUUGGUCCUGAAAAGGAAUCCCAAAAUAACAGAGUAGUUAAGGUAGGAAAGGACCUCUGGAGAUCAUCUAGUUCAAGCAGGGUCGGGCAGAGCAGCUUCUUUAGGGCUGUGUCCAGUCAACUUUUGAAUAUCUUCAAGGAUGGAGGCUCUGCAACCUGUCCUGUUGAGACAGAAUUUCAUGCAGUUCAUUUUGUACCUGUUGCCUUCUGUCCUAUCACUGGACACAACGGAGAAGAGCCUGCCUAUGUCUUCUUUACUGUCCCUUUCCUCCAUCAGCAGGUGUUUAGAAACUUUGAUAAGAUCACACAAACACAAGCUUUUUCUUCUCCAGGCUGGAGUCUCAGCUCUCUCGGCCUUUCUUCGUGUGAAAGAUUGUUCAGUUCUCUCAUCAUCUUUGUGGAAGUAAAUAAAAUACUUCAACUAAUAAGGGGAAUUAAAAUUCAAAGGGGGAAAUGUUUUUGUGGGGAAAAUAAACAAAACACAACCUGAUAACUGUAAAAAGAACAUGAAGAUCACAAAAUGAAAAGGUAAGAGGUUAGGUAACUCCUACUUUAAGAUUCUGCAAUCUUCAUUUGCCCCCUUGUGUCAGUGUACUAUGAAGCAAUCUUUGUGAUCACACAGAAUAUUCAACCUAAUGAUACGACUGGCCGGGUGCAGGUGCUGGGCCAGGGAAGGUGUUUUUGGGCAGUGCCAGCAAGAAGCUUAAUGCUGCUAUAGGUGCUGCAGAUUAGUAGAAAAUUCUGUAGGCAAUGGAAUAACUGCUACAAGUAGAGGAAACGGUGCCUUCGUGGUCACGUCAAGUGAGAAUUCCUAAGAAUUGGAUGAGGUGUUUAUUUUUCUGCCUUUAUUCUUAUAUGAUGCUAAACAAGUUACUGGGCCUUGGCUUCUGUAAUACUUGUAUUCCUCUUUAAUUUAGAGGUGUCCAACUUAAGACUCUUAUGUCUGAAGGAAACACUGGCAGUUUACAUUUUGUAGGUGAGUUUCUUGGGAGUUGUCAUUUGAAUUAAAAUAUUCUGUAAUGUUAUGUCUCCCAACAGCCUCCUAUCUUGUUAAAGCAUACCUCAAACUGUGGCAUACUAUGAUAGUUUCUACACCUCCAUGUCAUAUUUAAAAUAGGGAUAAUAGAAACUUAGCUGAAGGGCGGUUGGGGUUUGGUUGUUUAAAAAAAACGAAACACUUUUGUUUAGUAGCUGUACUAGAGUACAUUUCCUUAUGGAAUUUUCUAUGGCAUUCUUCAAUUCUGAUUUUGGAGGAAGAGGUGAGUAUUGUGCAUCUUUUAAAGACAAGAUCUGCAAUCAACUUUUCUUGUUGCCAGCUCAAGUUGAGAAGCAGAGUUUCCAUGUUGUUUAUUCAUGGUCUAUUUGUGCAGUCCUGUGAACUCCAAAAUACUCUGAUUUUUGUCCUCUUGUCACUGAUUCAUUUUGCAAAUGUAACUGUUAUUAUUAAAUACUUGUACCGUUUUUGAAUGUCAUUUCAGAAGUAACAUCUUCAAUAUUCUGUAAAAUAUUCUAUACACUGAAGGUAAUGUUCAUGUUUCAGCUUCAUCAUGUUUGACAAUAAAUUUACCUGUGAAGACCUAUUUUGCAGAAAGAAUGAACUAGUUGUACAGUGGUAAGCAGUGCAUUGUUGAAAAUGUAAAGUGACUUAGACCUGUGUAUUUAGCACUUCUACAGGCCAUUGUUCUUCAAAUUUCAAAAGCAGUUUUCUUGGUACUGCACAUGGCACACUUUGCUGAGUGAGAGUGGCCUGUACUGAGUAUUUGGAUACAGAGAUCUGAAAAUGUUUCAGCUUUUCCCUUAGUCAUGGUAUCUUGUUAAGUAUUGAGGGAAGUCUGUCCUAGACAGGUAGCAAUACUAACAGUAAUGAUGGAAAUUUGAAAUGUUUAGACUUCCUUUAUCUUCUUCAUCACAGCCUGUCACAGAAAUCACAAGAAAUGAUAGAAAUAUAUCCAAAGUGGUGAGCUGCUAUUUUACCACAGUGUUACUUGAAGCUGAGCAGCAAUUCUUCAUGUAAGAAACGAGUAAGCAAAAAGUUAAAAAUGUAUUUGAAGGAAAACACUAUGUCUGAGAUAUAUGUGAAUCUCCUUUCUAAGGUGGAAGUUGUGUGUAUCAGAAUAAAAUUUUUACCUAUAAAGAGAAAUAAGAAAGAAUUAUGGAGAAAAUGCAGUAGCAUGAGUGACAAUGCUCAUCUUUCUGUGAGGGGGAUAAUAAUGUUUGGUGUAUUUUUCACUACAUAGUUUAUUUCUGUUAGAAUUUAUUUAAUGGCUUUCAGGUGCAGUUUUUUUCCACAUUUUAUUCACUUAUAAUAGCUCUGUAUUUGUUAAUAAAUCAAAUUUGAAUUUAUCUAAUAUUGCUUCUGUCUCUUAAUGUAAAAUUUGAACCUUACGUUUGAAAGUUCUGAAAUUAAAAAAUUAAUUAUAGCAGCAUUUAUCCAGUUUGUAUCUUCAAUUUAAAGUAUACAGUGCUGAGUAGCUAAAGGAUGACUUAGUUUCUGUUGAGAGAUGGGAACAAUACAUCCAUAUUGUUCUUUUCUGCUGUUUAUAGCCAUAGGAGACAGACAUGGAUAGAAAGGUUCACAUUUCCCUAUGUUUCUGCAGGGCAAGCAGUGGCUUUAUUACCUAUAAAGGAACUUUAUACAGCUUUUACACUUUCAAGUGGUUUUAAAAGUAAAAUAUUUUGGAAUUUCUCAACAAAUACACAAAAAAACUUUAAGUAUUAUGAAAUUUGAAGUAUAUAAGGCAUAAAUUAUAGCAUAUAAAAUCUCAGAUGUAUACAUUUUAAUCUUUUAUUGAAAGAAAGGCAAAUUAAAAGCUUCAGGGGUCACAUUAUUGGACCAGUUAGAAUAGUCAACAAUAAUAUAUGACUAUGGUUCUACAGUCCUGUGAUUCUUGAGCCAGACAAGUUUUGGGAUUGAGAGCCUUCCUGUUACCUUCAGCAUGAGCCUGCCUCUGAUAUUUCCAUGGUGGUUUCACUAAAUAACUUUAGGUUAGUUUUUGGUAAGCUCAGCCAGCUGAAUGUGUUUGCUGUGUGAGCAACAGUGCUGGCACCAAGAAAAGCACCCUCCACUCUCAAGAAUGGCAAUCCAGCUUUAAAGUUAAUUUAAAGUUAAUUGGUUAAAUCACUGUAGGGAAUACUCAGGGCCUUAUUCUUCCUUUCUUCAUACUCCUACAGAGAGGCUUUGCCUAUCUGCUCUUUAAAUCAGUAUUAAAGAGUCUAAAGACACCUUCAUCUCUCUCUUGUGCAGAAGAUUGGUAUCUACAUGUGAAACCAACACAAAAAUGCUUAUAUAGAUAUAUAUAUAUAUAGCUUCUUAGCUAUAAGAAGAUAUAUAUAGAUAUAGAUAUAUAGCUUUAUAGCUAAACAGCUGUGACCCACCUUUCCUGUCAUGAAGACAAUGUGAAAGUGUCUAUCUUUUCCAACAAGCAAUAUCUGUUUUUUUAGACACAUAAAAAAAAUACGUUAAAACUGUAUUAUCCAUCUAUGUAUAAUGGAACUUCUGACUCAAAAAUAAGAAAUUUUCAGUAAUAUGAGACAAAGAUGGACAACAGCUCUAAUGUUUUGCAGGUAUGAAAUCUGUUAAAUGGCCUGUGUGACAACCAAUUUUAGGAAGCGUCUGUGGGUAGUAGGUGGUACAGUCAGAAAAAGGAUUUCACUGCAGAUGCGAUGACAUCGUGUAGCCAGACAGCCCCCUGUUGGUUGUAUUGUUGUGGAGGUUCCAGAAAGGAAUCGUGCUUGAAUUCAGCUAUUCAUUGCUUUCAACAAGCUGGUUUUUUCAUUUCCAUAUCACAAAUAGAGAAAAUGGAGGGGCAAAAAAUGUGUGUGCUUGUAAAAACUACCUCUGAAUGAAGUUUUAUCUCUUGUAUAAGACAAAUGUUAAAGCCUGGUUAAAUAGAGUAUCUCCACAGUUUCUUAAUGCCUUUAUAGAAGCUUAUUUUCAAAGCACUGUAGUGGAAAUUUAGAGCAGUACUUUGUCCUUGUGAUAAAACUUAAGGCUAGCAUACUUUAAUAUCACAUUUAUAGUCUUACUAAUGCAAAGUACUUAGAUAAACUGCUGUCAAGAAUGCAAGUAAUAGAUUUUAAAACAUAAAAGUUUGUAAGCUGGCAGUGAACUAGCCUGAUACACGCUCCAGCUUUAUUUAAUGACUGAGACUCUCUUGCAGGCACAUCUAUGAGAGCUUCUGCUAUUUAACAAGAGGCUUGGGUUUGUUUUUUUUUAAUCAUUUCCUUUGCUUUAAUCUGUUCUUUGUAUGUGUUUUAAGUUGCUACCAAUGCAAGUAGCUGUAUACUUCCAGUUUGUGUUUUUCCCCUGUGCUGAGAAACUAAAAACCUUGUUCUUCAAAUGAAAUAGAUGUCUAAUAUAUUGGAAAAUUAAAGGACACAAAUUAGGUAUUUUGGUGGUUUUUUUUUUCUUCGAAGUGUUCGUAAAGAGAACCUAGAAUCUCCCUUGUAUUGGUUACUGUAUAUCCAUGUGGUAAUGGAAUGCUGUAGGUACUGUAUGAGGUAGCCAGGAAAGUUUCCAGAAAAAACUCUGUCUCAGGGGCACAGGGUCUUUUGCUCUGACAUAAACAAUACAGAGGUGAUCUCUUUCUUCAUCAGAUAAGGCCAAGGUUAUAACAGCUCAUCUUCAUCUGAGGAACUGGAUUUGUGGCUGAAAAUCCACAGCUGCAACAGUGUUAGGGAAACUGAUGUGAGAGUUAAUCUUCUACUACAGUACAGAAGAUGUAGCAUGAUGCCAAGAAAGCCUUAAGGAAUCUUUCUGCCCCUCAAAACACAUUAAAAAAUCUAUUGUAAUCAGAUAUCUUUAAACUGCUGACAGAAACAACAGAGGGUAAGGAUACAUGCUGUGAUUGAAAAGGGGGAAUGGGAAAGAUAGUGUCAGACCAAAGAGAUGGUUUAAAAUUGUCAUGACUUGCUAAAAUCCAUCAGAAGAGUUUAAGAAACUGGCUGAAACAAUCUGAAACAAGGUGAGGGUACUCUCCCAUGAAACAGAAAACCUGGUUUUCAGAAGCCCGAGGAGAUCGAAGUUCACAUCUCUUCUGAAAAAGUACCCCAUGGAAGUUGCCACAGAUGUUGCCCAUCUUUCUUGAUAAAUCAAGGAUAUGUACAAAAAAGAAAUCACAAAAUGGUUUUGUUCAAAGAUUGUUGGCAGUGAUAGCUAUUACUCUUAGGAGAUGAAAGCAAGCUGCAGGUAGAAUUUCAAAGGGUAGUGGAAUUUGCUUUUAUUGGACUAACUGUGCAGUUCCUUGCAAGUUCCAUAUUUUUUCCUAAGAUGUUUCCUGAAGUAACGGUAAAAUGAGCAUAUAAUAAAUAUAAGUACCCAUUAAAGCACACUAAAGGAAUACCUUAUGUUUCCAGCAGAUGAACACUGAGAUAACGAAGUGUUUCUGAAUUGCAUCACAGAUCUCUAUUAUGCCAAAGUUCUGGGUUUUAUUGCUAAAGAGAGCACCAGUAAAGGUGGCUUUAAACUGCUUUAUGCUCCUACAUUCUCUAAAUCUGCUGAAGACAGAAAGCAGGGAGCAACUGCAUGGCUGUUCAACAGCCAGCAAGGGGAUUCACCUCUUCUCUCCUGCAAUCUACCUCAAACUGUUUUCUUUUUAUUAUAUUUGAAGAAGCUUUUUGAGUUUCAGGGGGGUUUUGUUUGUUUGUUUUACAGGAGAGUUUACAAUUCUCCUCACAAAUUAGCAGCAUAGGUAAGAGCCUGUUCUAGGUUGAAGAAGAUUCAAAUAACUUCUCAUGCUCAGAAAAAUUACUACAUUCUUCCUCUUACGAGGAGUGGUUACAUACUCCAUUUCCAAAUCAGGAUUAAACUUUAGGACUUCCUCAUGGUUCUUGGAGUAUCUUUAAUUUUUAUUUUGUUUGAGCAAUUCUAGUAGCUUAGAACAUACAGGUAACUUGCAGAGCUCUUACAUUGUGAUCCCACUGUUUUAUGCUUACUCAGGCAUAAAGCAGCCUGAGAAAGGCACUGCCUUACUCUAUGAAUGUAUCUCAGUUUCAUCUAAAACUGCAGCUUUUAGAGGCUGCAGUUUAGCUGUGAGCAGUUGUCCAGAGCAGUGGACAUUUUUAAUGGUAAUUAACACAAUCCUAACUGUAUCUCUGUUUUUGGUUUUGUUGUUUUUUUCAUAUUUAUUGCAGAGUUCUUUUAAAAACAGCACCUGGUCCUGGUAAUAUAUAGUGUUUGAGUUUCUCAGGCUGCCAACAGGCUCUUUUGAGACACUUAGGCCUGAGGAAACUACUCUGAAUCCCCAUAAGGCUUAUCCUUGAGAUAGGAAUUUCUUUGUCACCCUGUAUGUUGAAACCAAAUAAUUUAUAUUGUGCUUCCUUACUUUUGUAAUUUUCUUUCAUCUGCCUCUUGGUAUUACACAGAUAAAGCCAAAAAAAGCCCUUCUGAAUUCUGUUAUCUUUAAAAGUACUUGGAAUUCUCGUGUCUGUCUGUGUGUGUGCUGUGCAUUGAUACACAGGCGCUGCUUGCAGCCAUUCGUACCUGUGCAUCUGGAACUCUUUGAGUGGGACAACGCUGUUCAGCAGCACUUGUGAAAGCAACAACUGUUUCCUUGUGCAAGAGCAGUGUUAAUCCUGCCACCCCUCAUUUUUUGGACUACCAGUGGCUACAAAGAGAGCUUUUCAUUAGCCAGUGAUAGUAGCAAUUUUCUUUUUCACUAAUCUUUAUUAGUGUUUUCUUAUUCACUAAUUUAUAUUAACAUUUAAAUAGAUGUUAAGAUGUGGUUUAAUUUAGAAACUAGCACUUCUGGUUUAUUGGUUUUUUAUUUUCUCUUUGGCUGGAGAAACUGCUUUAGCCUAUGAAGAAUUCCUUGUCAAUGCAUACCCCAUGAAUGAGCACAACCUCCCUGGUGUUCAGACACUUACUGUGUGAUGUAGUGGUGUCAUUAAAGACUAUCUGCAUAAGAUACCUUUUACUUGACUUGAUGAGCAUCACAUGAAUCUUCUAAGAAGGCUGAGCAAGCAAAAUAUCUUGCCUCAAGAUGUCACAAGUGAUACAGGCAGACACCUGGCCUCUGGUUCUAGUUUGCCUGAGCAGAAACACUUGAGAAAGACCAGAACUUUUUGCCUUUCCCACUUCUUGGCGUAGGCUGUCAGCAAGUCUCCUAACAUGGCUAGACCUUGAUUAGAGGGUGACAAGGAACAGAACAUUUGCAAAAGGGAUCCUGAUUUUCUUCUACAUAAAUUCUGAAGAAGUUAAGCAUAGCUCAAACCUGGGAACACCAGGCAGUCCAGUGAUGCAGAAUUGGAAUUUUCCUGGUACGUCGCUACAGUUCUUGGAUCCCUUGGCAGCCAUGAUUCUAGAGCAGAAAUUAUCAGUAACAAUGACACCAAAAUUAUUUAUGGCAAGGUCGAGUCACUUUUGGAUGGCAGUGUUAUGAAAGUUCAGCAAGGCUAAGCACUUGUUAACUACUUACAGGCUUUUUUGGCUCAGCAAGUAAAUCCUUCAACACUUCUGCUUGCUUGUUCUGCUUGCUUAUUCUGCUAUCCCAUUAGACGGGAUAACUUUGGGGCCAGACAAGAAGGGUUUUCACAAUCCUAUGCCUUUGCGAGCAGAAAAUCCUGAGUGUUUAGCGUGCAUUUCUUGCAAAGCUGACGUGAUGCAGCAUCUUUAUGCACAAGAAAAGAUCGACCCCCACUUUGCUACAACCUCCUUUCAGGUAAUUGUAGAGAACUUCUUUGUUGUCCCAGGCAGCCAGCAACAGAACAAGAGGAAAUGGCCUCAGACUGUACCCAGGGGAGGUUUAGGUUGGACAUUAGGAGGAAUUUCUUCUCAAAAGAGUGAUUAGAUAUGGGAAUGGACUGCCCAGGGAGGUGGUGGAGUUACUGUCCGUGGAGGUGUUUAAGAGAAGACUGAAUGAGGCACUCAGUGCCAUGGUCUAGUUGACAUGGUGGUGUUUGGUUGGUCAUAGGUUGGACUUGAUGAUCUCAGAGGUCCUUUCCAACCAAAUUCAUUCCGUGAAAGCUGCCUCCAAUAACAGCAAAUACUGAUAACUAGAGCAAAAGGAAGCUGAAGUUUUAUCUCUGCUGCAGAAGGAGCUAUCUUCUGAAAAUGAGAGUCUCAAAUAGCAUAUGAUUAAUUCAUAUUGCACAUACUAAUUUAAAAUGGUAAGAAUUGCCACAGACAUCUAGAGAGGAAUUUAGAUAUGGCGCAGUAGAGAGCACUGAUGGCAGUAACAACAUUUCUGGAGACAGACAUCUUUAUAAAAACUAUUUCUUUAUGGGUUUUCUGAAGCACUGGCUCUGCAUUCUCUUUUUAUAGACAAGGUUGUACACACUGUUCUUAGAUCCCCAAGACAAGCAAACACCAGUUUCCAAGCACAGGCAUCACAGAGAACAGGUUUUCCAACCAUGCAGACCUUCAUGCCCUCCGGGAAAGCAGCGCAAGGCUUUGCCUCCAGUAGACCUGUAUGCUUGUCACCACUUGUUUCAGAAGAGCAAAAACUCACAUAUGCAUGUCCUGAACACUUCAUACGUGAUCUAAGAACUGGCAUUAGAUCCUUCACGGAUCCUCCAUGGCUUUAUCUUGGUGUUGAGGGUAGACCAAGAAGAUCAUCUCCAAAGAAUAGAGAUGAUCCAAACCGCAGCCGCCUGAUGUUCCACUAGCCUUCUGUGACUUCACAUGAUCAGCUUUUCUAUUCAGUCUCAGAGCCUACCUCAGAAGCUCAGUGAGAGCAUGGGUCAUGAGUCAUAGGACAGUGAGGCACUGGGACAGGUUGUCCAGAGAAGCUGUGGAUGCCCCAUCCCUGGAAGUGUUCAAGGACAGGUUAGAUGGGGCUUGAGCAACCUGGUCUGGUGGAAGGUGUCCUUGCCCAUGGCAGGGAGGCUGGAAUUAGAUGAUCUCCAAGAUCUCUUCUGACUCAAACCAGUCUAUGAUUCUGUGGGUCUGACUUUCAGUAGCCAUCCACAAGACACUGCUACAGCACAGCUUAUGAAUACAAACUGUAGCCAACAGAGGAGUCACACAAAUGUUCCUGUGCCUGUGAGUGCAUUUUCCAGCCAAGUUCUGCAGGGAAUCUCUGAAAGGUGAGUCUUGCAAAUGGAUCGCCUUUUGUCCAUCCUUCUUCCAAAUGUAUCCACAGAGAUUUGGGGACUGUGUAUGGACACCAGGGAAUUCUAGAUUACACUAUCACACUUCAAAUGUCAAAGAAAACUCCAUAAAAGCAGAAAGCACCAUUGGCCUAAUCAAGAUGGGAGAAGUAUCUCAGUUAAAUUAAGGGCCAUGCAGAUACAAUUUUUUAUUUACAUUCCUGACAUGGCCAUAGUUAAUCAUUUAAGCUAUUAAUGUGUUCCAGAGAUCCACAGUUUACUGAGCCAUCUUCAGAAGAUAAUGUUUUGAAUGAUCAUAGGUAGCAAAGGAAUAUUAUAUGGCUUAAGGAUCAAGUUGCAAAUGGGGAAAACAAUGUAAACCAGUCUGUUCCAGGAGAUACAUUUCCAAUUUAUGGAAAAUUAGGAACUUACUAAUAGGGUUAGUGCUCACCAUACUGCAACUGGAAUUGAAACAAAGUCCACCAACAGGAAAUAUCCAGUAAGUAUCCAGCAGGCUUAUCACCCCAGUGCUGCAAAAACAGUGCUGUUAUUCUGAUCUUCAGAGUUUGUCUAUUUGACCUCUGAAAGCUUAGCUUCUGUUUGCAGAUGUGAGGUAUCGACAUGAUUAAUCCAUCUGAUGUCUGGAUCCUGCAAUGUUUCACUUCACAGCACAUAUGCAGAAAUUACCUCCUAGAGAAAAAUUAUCUUCUUCAGGUAUGCAAACGAUUGAUGUAAGAUGUUCUGCAGAUGCAUUAACCCAACACAUUGGAAAAAAUAAAAAGUCCCUAUAGUCUCAUGAACA
This is a long non-coding RNA of Pseudopipra pipra, 12804 nucleotides long. RefSeq lists it as uncharacterized. Lineage: Eukaryota; Metazoa; Chordata; Aves; Passeriformes; Pipridae. The transcript has 8 exons. The record is from RefSeq and is a predicted model, not a curated record.